Molecule: non-coding RNA, 46 nt
Filed under: Schistosoma mansoni
Lineage: Eukaryota; Metazoa; Platyhelminthes; Trematoda; Strigeidida; Schistosomatidae
Source: RNAcentral
GCCUUGUUGAAGAGUCCCAUACUAGGACGAAACGGCUGUCCAGUGU